CAGUAGCCGCGGGAAAACGUAGGGUGCGAGCGCUAAUCGGAAUUACUGGGCGUAAAGCGUGCGCAGGCGGUUCGUUAAGACAGAUGUGAAAUCCCCGGGCUUAACCUGGGAACCGCAUUUGUGACUGGCGAGCUAGAGUAUGGCAGAGGGGGGUAGAAUUCCACGUGUAGCAGUGAAAUGCGUAGAGAUGUGGAGGAAUACCGAUGGCGAAGGCAGCCCCCUGGGCCAAUACUGACGCUCAUGCACGAAAGCGUGGGGAGCAAACAGGAUUAGAUACCCGCGUAGUCCCUGUCUCUUAUAC
RNAcentral lists this ribosomal RNA (301 nucleotides) under uncultured bacterium. RNAcentral describes it as "partial 16S ribosomal RNA". It matches the Rfam family "Bacterial small subunit ribosomal RNA", at positions 509 to 807 of the family's 1533-position model. The record is from RNAcentral.